CACUCCUGCGGGAGGCAGCAGUGGGGAAUUUUGGACAAUGGGCGAAAGCCUGAUCCAGCCAUGCCGCGUGCAGGAUGAAGGCCUUCGGGUUGUAAACUGCUUUUGUACGGAACGAAACGGCCUUUUCUAAUAAAGAGGGCUAAUGACGGUACCGUAAGAAUAAGCACCGGCUAACUACGUGCCAGCAGCCGCGGUAAUACGUAGGGUGCAAGCGUUAAUCGGAAUUACUGGGCGUAAAGCGUGCGCAGGCGGUUAUGUAAGACAGUUGUGAAAUCCCCGGGCUCAACCUGGGAACUGCAUCUGUGACUGCAUAGCUAGAGUACGGUAGAGGGGGAUGGAAUUCCGCGUGUAGCAGUGAAAUGCGUAGAUAUGCGGAGGAACACCGAUGGCGAAGGCAAUCCCCUGGGCCUGUACUGACGCUCAUGCACGAAAGCGUGGGGAGCAAACAGGAUUAGAAACCCCGGUAGUCCCAUG
This 474-nucleotide ribosomal RNA is filed under the name uncultured organism. Its description in RNAcentral is "partial 16S ribosomal RNA". It matches the Rfam family "Bacterial small subunit ribosomal RNA", at positions 334 to 799 of the family's 1533-position model. The record is from RNAcentral.